CUAAAACCCCCCUUUUUUAAAUUUAAGACCUCAAAUCAGGUGGACUACCCGCUGAACUUAAGCAUAUC
Molecule: ribosomal RNA, 68 nt
Filed under: Puccinia bromina
Lineage: Eukaryota; Fungi; Basidiomycota; Pucciniomycetes; Pucciniales; Pucciniaceae
Description: partial 28S ribosomal RNA
Source: RNAcentral